RNAcentral lists this ribosomal RNA (421 nucleotides) under Weintrauboa contortipes. Its description in RNAcentral is "partial 16S ribosomal RNA". The stretch from base 159 to 421 matches the Rfam family "Archaeal large subunit ribosomal RNA", at positions 2156 to 2681 of the family's 2987-position model. The record is from RNAcentral. Lineage: Eukaryota; Metazoa; Arthropoda; Arachnida; Araneae; Pimoidae.
UGAAAUAAAUAGCCGCAGGAAUUUUACUGUGCUAAGGUAGCAUAAUCAUUAGCCUUUUAAUUAAAGACUAGAAUGAAAGAUUCAACAUUUUAAUUUCUUUUAAUUCUUAAAUAUAUUUAAUUUAUCCUAAAUAUAAAAAUAUAUUUAUAUAAUAAAAAGACGAUAAGACCCUAUUGAACUUCACUUCAGUUUAGCUGGGGCAGCUAAUUAAAUUUAAUUUUAACUAAAAUACUUUUAUAAAAAGACCCAAUACUAUUGAUUCAAUGAACAAGUUACCAUAGGGAUAACAGCGUAAUAAAUUUCCAAAGCUCAUAUAAAAAAAUAAGAUUACGACCUCGAUGUUGAAUUAAUUUACCUAAAAAACGCAAUAGUUUAAUAAGGGGGUCUGUUCGACCUUUAAAUUAUUACAUGAUCUGAGUUC